Bombyx mori (domestic silkworm) is the source of this 544-nucleotide long non-coding RNA. RefSeq lists it as uncharacterized. The transcript is spliced from 2 exons. The record is from RefSeq and is a predicted model, not a curated record. Lineage: Eukaryota; Metazoa; Arthropoda; Insecta; Lepidoptera; Bombycidae.
UUGUGGCCUUUUUGUAUAGUUUUCGUGUCCAAUUGAUUGAUUGACUCAAAAUGCCAAGUUUAUAUUUUAAAAUAAGUACCGUAAGAAAUCAAUGUUUAUUUGCACGUUGCGUCAAAAUUCAAAUAAUUCAUUGUACAUUUUGGAACGACAAUUUAGAAAAACUUUCGUUCGCCAUGCACGGGUGUUCGAAUCCCAGAUGUUUUCCACAGUUUGCGAACCGAGGCCCGGCGCACACACUCGUUACGUGGGGUUUCAGUAAGGUCUUUCACCUGAUCAAUCCAACGCAUGGGGAUUCGUCCACGAGAUCUCUUACCAUUGACCCUACCCGGAACAACAAGUUUCUCGAUAGACUCUGCUGGCCGACGCGAUACGUGUCCAAAAUAUCGAAGAAUCCUGGAUUGCACUGUUGACGAUAACAUGUGAGCGAUAUUUAGUUCUUUUAGGAUCGAGUCGUUGGUGCGAUGCUCAGUCCAAGAUCAUUAAUAUUUAAUUAGAUAAAUCAUUUCAAUAAAAUUUUCGGUAUUAAAUAUUCAAUUCGAUUAUU